RNAcentral lists this ribosomal RNA (751 nucleotides) under uncultured euryarchaeote. RNAcentral's name for it is "bacterial SSU rRNA". It matches the Rfam family "Archaeal small subunit ribosomal RNA", at positions 89 to 825 of the family's 1478-position model. The record is from RNAcentral. Lineage: Archaea; Methanobacteriati; Methanobacteriota.
CUCAGUAACACGUAGAGAACUGCCCUAAGGACGGGGAUAACCUCGGGAAAUUGAGGAUAAUACCCGAUAAAAGAAAGCGUCUGGAACGAGCUUUCUUUAAAAUGAUUUGGCGAAAUGCAGCCAAACUCGCCUUUGGAUGGCUCUGCGUCUGAUUAGCCUGUUGGUGGUGUAAAGGACCACCAAAGCUAUGAUCAGUAGGGGCAAUGAGAGUUGGAGCCCCGAGAAGGGCACUGAGACAAGGGCCCUAGCCCUACGGGGUGCAGCAGGUGCGAAAUCUCCACAAUACGCGAAAGCGUGAUGGGGCUAGUCAGAGUGUUCAAGCUUAGCUUGAACUGUGGCGGAGCGUAAGAUACUCCACAAGAAAGGGGUGGGCAAUACCGGUGCCAGCAGCCGCGGUAACCCCGGAGCCCCAAGUGGUUGCCAUAUUUAUUGGGCCUAAAGCAUCCGUAGCCGGACUAGAAGGUCUCUCGUGAAAUCGUUCCCCCUGAAGGAACGGCGUGCGAGAGAUACCACUAGUCUAGGAAUCGGGAGGGGUCGGAGGUACUGCAGGGGUAGGGGUGAAAUCCUGUAAUCCUUGCCGGACCACCUGUGGCGAAGGCGUCCGACUGGAACGAGUUCGACGGUGAAGGAUGAAAGCCAGGGUAACCAACCGGAUUAGAUACCCGGGUAGUCCUGGCCGUAAACCCUGCUCGCUAGGUGUUGCAUAUUCUUCGAGAGUAUGCAGGGCCGAAGAGAAGUCGUUAAGCGAGCC